RNAcentral lists this ribosomal RNA (776 nucleotides) under uncultured Neocallimastigales. RNAcentral's name for it is "partial large subunit ribosomal RNA". It matches the Rfam family "Eukaryotic large subunit ribosomal RNA", at positions 24 to 647 of the family's 3401-position model. Lineage: Eukaryota; Fungi; Neocallimastigomycota; Neocallimastigomycetes; Neocallimastigales. The record is from RNAcentral.
GUAGUCUCGCACAGAUGCAUAUCAAUAAGCGGAGGAAAAGAAACUAACAAGGAUUCCCCUAGUAACGGCGAGUGAAGCGGGAAGAGCUCAAAUUUGAAAUCUUAAAGGGUUUCCCUUUACGAAUUGUAGUUUAAAGAAGUGUUUUCUGUUGAGGUUUUGGUAAAAGUUCUUUGGAAUAGGACAUCAUAGAGGGUGAGAAUCCCGUAUUUGACCUUUACUUUCAACUUUGUGAUACACUUUCAAAGAGUCGGAUUGUUUGGGAAUGCAGUCCCAAAAUGGGUGGUAAAUUUCAUCUAAAGCUAAAUAUUGGCGAGAGACCGAUAGCGAACAAGUACCGUGAGGGAAAGAUGAAAAGAACUUUGAAAAGAGAGUUAAACAGUACGUGAAAUUGUCAAAAGGGAAGCGUUUGACACCAGUGUUGUUUUUCUGAAAAUCAAUUAAAGAACUGUUUAUGCUAAGCUGUUUAGACUUUAUCAGCUAAUCUGUUUAGUUUUGAGCUUUUCUUUAAUGCACUUUUCAGUUAACAAGUCAACAUCAAUUUCUUUUGCUGUAAAAAAGCUUGAGGAAGGUGGCUUGAGAUUCGUCUUAAGUGUUUAUAGCCUCUUGCCUAUGCAGUCGGAGAGAUUGAGGUCUGCAGCGUAGAUCCUUCGGGGCUAAAUGCAUUUGUGCUAAGUUAUAGCAUUUUAUAGACAACUUGUUGACUAUGAUUUGUCUUGUAGCUUACUCGCUUAUGUUAUUUUACCUACGCUUAGGAUGUUGACGCAUGAGAUAUACGC